GAUGAACGCUGGCGGCGUGCCUAAUACAUGCAAGUCGAGCGAACGGACGAGAAGCUUGCUUCUCUGAUGUUAGCGGCGGACGGGUGAGUAACACGUGGAUAACCUACCUAUAAGACUGGGAUAACUUCGGGAAACCGGAGCUAAUACCGGAUAAUAUUUUGAACCGCAUGGUUCAAAAGUGAAAGACGGUCUUGCUGUCACGUAUAGAUGGAUCCGCGCUGCAUUAGCUAGUUGGUAAGGUAACGGCUUACCAAGGCAACGAUGCAUAGCCGACCUGAGAGGGGGAUCGGCCACACUGGAACUGAGACACGGUCCAGACUCCUACGGGAGGCAGCAGUAGGGAAUCUUCCGCAAAGGGCGGAAGCCUGACGGAGCAACGCCGCGUGAGUGAUGAAGGUCUUCGGAUCGUAAAACUCUGUUAUUAGGGAAGAACGUAUGUGUAAGUAACUGUGCACAUCUUGACGGUACCUAAUCAGAAAGCCACGGCUAACUACGUG
RNAcentral lists this ribosomal RNA (497 nucleotides) under uncultured bacterium. RNAcentral describes it as "partial 16S ribosomal RNA". It matches the Rfam family "Bacterial small subunit ribosomal RNA", at positions 28 to 507 of the family's 1533-position model. The record is from RNAcentral.